Molecule: unclassified non-coding RNA, 269 nt
Filed under: Hevea brasiliensis (rubber tree)
Lineage: Eukaryota; Viridiplantae; Streptophyta; Magnoliopsida; Malpighiales; Euphorbiaceae
Source: RNAcentral
CGGAUCCUAGGAAUGUUAUGUAUGGCUUUGUUGCAGGUACCACCACCUUUUCUAUGUAUACUCCUGGGUUGAUCUGUAUGAUGACACGUUGGGUGUUGUUGUCCGGGAUGGAGUCGACGGCGGCUUGGACGGAGAGGAAGUCGCCGGAGCCGUUGGCGUCGACGGUGAUGGUGCGUUGGCCGGAGGGGCCGACCCAUUUGUGGUGGUGUGGGGUAGUGGAGUUGAUGACGCAGGAAAGGGAGGUUGGUAGGAGGAGGAGGAGAGUAAGG